Molecule: long non-coding RNA, 742 nt
Organism: Salvia splendens (bonfire salvia)
Lineage: Eukaryota; Viridiplantae; Streptophyta; Magnoliopsida; Lamiales; Lamiaceae
Exons: 2
Source: RefSeq, a predicted model, not a curated record
CUCCCUCCCUGCCCCCUUUCCGCCUCACCCUGUUUUCCCCUCUCAAUCGGCGGGAAUCGCUUUUCGCCCCGCCGCGCCCACCAGCCUGCUUCGCUGCCGCUACUUCCGCCCUGUCGCGUCGCUCCUCCACCGCUACUCCCUCGCCACUCCUCCGUGCUGCCUCGCCGCUCCACCACGCUUCCUCGCCAGAUUUCUCUUUUCCUAUUCUUUUUCUUAUUCUUCGACGGGUAAAGAUCGGAUCUGUGAAUGAAUCCUCCGCCGCCACACUUCUCCCUCUCCUUCCUCUUCUUCUCCGUCCGUCGGCUCGCUCUCACGACGGUAGGUAUACGUCCGUCGAUCAUCAGUGCCAUGCGCCCACUGUCCGUCGUCUCCUCUCUUCACUCCACGGCGACCCGGCGCCGCCAGCCUUGGUGUCGCCGUCGUCCAGCAGACGCCUCCAUCCUCUUCUUCAUGCUUCAUCUUUUGAAAUUUCUGAUCAAAUCUUUGAAUGAAUCCGCCAGCCGCCGCCUUGCUGCCACUGCCCCAUCUCCCUCAUCCUGUCGCCCUCUUGUCUGAGCUGUCGCCGGAUUCCAAGCACCCUGCUAUGCUACAAUCAAAAUUCAGAAAAUCAGUCCAUAAAAAUUCCAGAUUCAAUUAAUGUUGUGUCUAUAUAAAUGUCAUAAACUUCUCGUUGAAGCCAAUAUUUUCUGCAUCUCAUUGGACCAAUUUUUAUCCAAUAAUAUUUGCCUUUUUAUUUGUCCAA